CCAGUCUCCCAGGGAGCCUCAGUCUUCCAUCAGUCCCAGCCACAGGCAUGCCUCGUUCCUUCACGUGCUCAGAAUUUCUGCGCCAAGGAUGUCGGCUCCUGUCAAACUAACGGAGAAAUGUUUGCCAGGUGGACUCCCUCGUAUGAGCCAAGAAAUUCACAGCAGGAAGAAGGGGAGAAAAAAAAUUAAAAGAGUAGCUCCGGUUCUUUGGCGGGGGCAGAUCGCAAGGCUCUCAGUCUGAACGGCAAGUCCUGCUUUUCAUCCCAUGCUGAUCAAUUCGGCUCCCCAACAGCCACCAGAGAGACCCAAAGCCAAGCCACAGAAGCCGCUCCUCCAGCCUCAGACCCGUCUCUGGGACACAGUCGGUGGUCAGAUUUGAGCAACUCGUUCACUGCUGUUAUUUCCUUUUGGGGAAAAGAACAUUGAAAUUUCCAUUUGGCAGCGAGGAUGCACAAGACAGCUUUAUUGGUGCCCAUGUUUUUUUUAAAUUAGUAUUAUUAAAAACUGCAACAUGCACCAAGUAUGAAUAGAACAUCACUUAUGACAAGAUGACAUCUGAGAUCAAAAGGAACCACAGACAGACAGACAGACAGACAAGCAGACAUGCUUUGCUGCUAAUCUGUGCCACGGAGUUACCUCCAAGUGCUUCACAGUCACCGGAGAGGCCAGAGACACAAUCAGAUGCACUAUCCAUGUUUCACAGAUGGGAAAAGCAAAGCACAGAGUCAGAGAGAAAUAAAAUAACUUGGAUCUAGCAGUCGCUCUCUGUUCUUCAGUUACUACUGGCAACAGCUACCAUUUCUAUAUACAAAACGAUCUCACAGAAAAGAGGGGUGACUGGGCAGGACCAAGGAAAAUGCACUUUACAUUCUAUCCAAAAGGCAUUUUAAGCACUAAGAAGGCCAGCUACACUGAAGUCUCUGAAAUAUUGAACAAAAAGCCACUGGUACUCAAACUUUUAAUGGACACAAUGGGGAGAUAGUUGCAGUUGCAAUGCUAUAAUCAACGUAUGUAUCAAUGUAAUGGCCACAAACAUACACCCUGAACAGGAACAAGACCUUGGAGUCGUAGUGGAUAGCUCAAAGAAGAUGUUGACCCAGUUUGUGGCAGAUGUGAAAAAGGCAAAUUCCAUGUUAAGGAUAAAUAGGAAAGGGAUUGGAAAUGAAACUGCCAAUAUCAUAAUGAUGUUAUAAAAAUCUGUGGUGCAACCGCACUUGGAAUACUGUGUGUAAUUCUGGUUGCUGCACCUCAAAAAGAUUUAUUGUAGAGCUGGAAAAGGUUCAGAAAAGGGCAACCAGCAUGAUCAAGGGUUAUGGAGCAACUCUCCCUUCAGUAAAGAUCGCAAUAUCUGGGGCUUUUUAUUUCCGAAAAAAAGAUGAGGAAGGAGGUGACAUGAAAGAGGUGUAUAAAAUUAUACAUGGUGUGAACAAAAUGGGCAGAGAUAAGUUUUUCUCCAUCUCUCAUACUACAGCUUGUGGUUAUCUAAUUAAGCUGAAUGUUGGAAGAUUUCGGACAGAUAAAAUGAAACAGUUAUUAAACAAGCAUAUAACUGAACUAUGGCAUUCAUCCCCCAAAGACAAAGUGAUGGCCACCAACUUGGACACCUUUAAAAUGGGACUAGACAAAUUCCUGGAGGAUAAGGUUAGCCAUUGUGGCUAGGAUCUCCAAUAUCAAGCGUGGUAUGCUUCUGAUUAUCAGUUGCUGGGGAUCAUGAGCAGGACUUGAGCUCACGUCCUUCUUGUGGGGUUCCCGCUGCGGCAUCCGGCUGGCCAUCAUAGGAAACAGGAUGCUGGACUAGAUGAGUCUUUGGUCUGAGCCAGCUGCGGGGCUCUUCUUAUGUUCUCCUGUUAGCUCUCUAAAGUUUCAGACAAAGGCUUUUUCCCAAGUCAGCUAUCCAAAUUCCUUUUUUAACUGGAGAUGCUGGAGAUUGCACCCAAGAUCUUGUGCAUGCAAAGCACUGUGCUCCAUCAAUGAGCCAUGGGCCCUCCCCUGUCAUGUGUGGGGAGUCCUUUACAUUCCUGGUUAAUCCUGAAAUCACUGGCAUAGAUUAGAAACCUGACUUCACCGAUAAGCAUGCAUUUAAAAGGUCAGGACACAAAUAACCACCCUUUUUGCCACCCUCAUGGUGAAUACGACAGGAUGGUUAAAGAAGCAUAUUAAGGUAUAACUAAUCUGCAGCAAGCGCUCUUGAGUUUAUGCCCUAGAUUUAAAACCAAUGAGAACCACCUACAUCACCUCUUGAAGCAUCAUAAAAUUGUCCUGAUGCUGACUAAGCUUGAAUUCUCCCUCUGAGCGGCUGUGUCUAGCCUGCAGCCACUAUCUCCCCUUACCAGUUUGGCAGUUAUGCUGCAGUGUACAUACACAUUUACCAUGUCUGUGACAGCUCUGAAUUUGGUUAACCAGCAUCGUAUGCCUUCAUCUGAGAAAGGCUCAAUCGACUGCCUCCUUUCACAUGCAACAAGUUGUGCAUCUGGCACUGCUGUGAUGGACAGACAGGCACAGGCACACACACCGGUGGAGACGUGGAGAACCAUUCUGUGAGGUAGCCUGGAUUUGAUGUCUCCAUCUGGGACCCUACUCUGGAGAAAUAGCAUUUCCAUGUCAGCUUCUCCCCUACUCGCUUCCAACAGCACACAGAAACUACAUUUUUUCCUUACGAUAAUGGAGACAACAACCUUUUCAACCUGUCCCUUGGGUCUUGCUGCUCAGUUUCACAAUGCAGUUUUUACCUUUUGUCUGUAUACAGUUACAAAGCAAGCACACAGAUCCACAUUUGACGGAUGGAGAAUAUCUCCCGUUCUCAAGACAUUUACGAUUGAAAUCUAAUUACACAGCACAGCACAGUCCCAGGUUUAAUUAAAACACAUUUUAGUUCCAGCUUCACAUAAUCUCCGAUCAAUUUCCUAGCAGGCUGUCUGUCCUUCUGCCUGCUUCUCAGACCUACACAAAUAGGAGAACUCUGGGAAAUUCGCACGCUGGAUCAAACCUGACAAAUCUUUGGGGUCUUCUCUUCUAUUGGCAGCUGCACAGGAACCAAAGCACCUGCAGGGAGGAGUCAAGAAGGCCCCCCAAAAAGUCUUAGGGAAGUUGAGACAGAUUUAAUGCCAUCAGGGAAGGGCUAUGCCUCAAUGAGAAACUCAGUAUGAAGAUGAUUGGAGUUUAGGUUCCCUGUGGCAUAUAAAGUUGCCUGUGGCUGUGGAUCCAAGAUAAUAUAUGACAUGGACAUGGAGAAACCACCCAGUUCCUUCUCAUUCACAGACACUACAUGGCUCCCAACAUACACUCACACAUGGACUUUCGUGAAAGUCAAAAGGAAGGAAGUUUCUGACCUCUUGUACAGUCUCAAUAAUGGAGGACACAGACAACCACUAUAAACUACAGUAUUUAAUUGGAACCUCCAUGUACAGCAGGGGUACCUAACCUGUGACCCUCCAGAUGUUGUUGGACUCUCAGCUCCCAUCACCCUCAGCCAGCACUGCCAAUAGUCAGGACAAUGGGAAUUGCAGUCCAACAACAUGGUGUAAAGAAGACCUCCAAGUACUUGAAGCUGGGAACAAACUAACAAUGGGGGAAAGGUCACCAGCUUCAUGCCUUGUUUGUGAGCUUUCCAGGGGCAUCUGGCUGGCUGCGGAAUACUGGACUAAAGCAGUGUUCUUCAACCUUGGUUCCCCAGAUGUUGUUGGACUACAACUCCCAUCAUCCCUAGCCAUCUUAGCCAAUAGCCAUGGAUGAUGGGAGCUGUAGUCCCAACAACAUCUGCGGACCCACGGUUGAAGAACACUGAACUAAAGAGGCUACUUGGAUCCACCAAGGCAGUUCUUGUGGGAAUACCUCUCCUUGUGUCCUCAAUAUUCAAACAGUGCACAGAUGACACAAUCAAAGAAAUGCUCUAGUCUAGAGAAUAAAAGGGAUGAAGUAAUUUCUGUUGUAGGCUGGGCCCAAGACAUUUGUACACAUAACAACCUGUUCUGUGUGAAACAUGAAUAUAUUAUGAACCAACAGAGCUGGGGGGGGGGUUCCAAAGCACUCUUUAAUGUUCCCAAAUAGUGGAAUCGCCAUGUUGCUCACUACCAAAAAUCUCAGCUACUGAUUAUCAAUGCAGUCACAGAGUUUAGAUCAGGGAAAGAAAGGAAAAAUUGUUGCCAAUUAGAACAGUAGAGGGAACUGCAGGAGGCAAAUUGUAAUUGCCCUCCCUGGAAUCGGGCCAGGGCUCUGUGGGCCAAUCACUCUAACUCUUGUGAAAUGUGCCAUACAGUUUUUAAUGAGCUCACAUGACCAGGAAUUCCAUUUAUUUCUCCUUCAAAGGGUAUUUUUGGUGGCACCAUCUCGCCUUGCCCCACAUAUCUCAAACCCAGGGGCUGGAACAGUUGCUAAGUCAGGCACAAACACUCUGGCAGAUUCCUGCCACACCAGUUUUUCUGUAUAUUUCUCCAUGGCCUAAGAAGAGCCCCCCUGCCCCCACUCUGCACCUCCCCACAAGUUGAUGAGCACAGGCUGGAAUGGUGGAAUGGUGCUGCUUUUGGUUAGAAGGAGGGAAAGAGCUGUUCUACAGGAAGGGCAGCUAUCCAUCUGUGAGCCAAAUGCAGUGGUAUGUUAGCUCUGCAUCGAGCAAGGUUGCUCUUUAAAUACAAAUUGCCACCACAGGGAGGGGAUGGGGGGCUUGAACCUUUUGCCUCCCGUUGUAGUUUGGAUUGGCCUCCCCUCCCUCACACAGGCAAUUUGCAUAGGGAAAAAGCUUCUAUUUACUUCAACGGGAACUUUUUUCCUAAGAAAAUUGCAGGUGAAGGGAGUCCAAUCCAAACUGACAUCACAGUACGGGGUAAAGGGUUAAAGCUCCUAAUUCCCACGGCAAGGCCUUGAUCAUGCCCCCUGAGCUAGCAAUUUGUGUUAAAACUUAAAAAUAGAUACGGAGCUAAAACAUUGUCUAGUUUGGCUCUGUCUUGAUGGUUGCAACAGCCAAUGGGGCAACUCCCUGCUUCUUGCAGAGAUUUUAAGAGCGGUUGGCUGCCUUGGAGGAUCUUAUAGGAUACCAUGUUCUUUCUCUCUCAAAUGCCUACCCUGAGCCCACUGCCUGUCACAAGAGGGCACUCUUUCUACCAAUCUGCAUUCACUUUUAUUUUUUAGUUAAAAAAUAGGGUAUGCUAAAAUAAUUUAUUCUUCGGAUUGAUGGGGCUUGUGCUGACAAAAUCUGAGAAUCCCUAUCUCACUCUCUGAAAUGUCUUAAAAUAUUAUACACAGGGUAGGCACAGGGAUGGAAUUGAACCAGCCACCUUGGAAGGGUGGUUUGCAUCUGCUUUGCAUGCCAAAGGUCCCAGGUUCAAUCCCCAAUGGCCUCUCCAAGCUCGGCUAGGAAAGACUCCCUGUCUGAAAUCCUGGAGAGCCACUGCCAGUGAAUGCAGAAAAUACUGAGUCAGAUGGACGAAAGGUCUGGUAUAAGGCAACUUCCUAUAUUUCUAUACUGUUUUCAUUGCAUGUAACUGCAUACCUCCUAGGAGACAGAUAUAUAUCUCCUAGGAGGUUUUUUUAAAGCAUAGUUGCAAUCUAAAUCGGUGGCAGUUUUAAAUUUUCAUGCGUUUAAAUGAAUCGACGCGCAAAUAUUAUACAUGUCUGUUAUCCCACCGUCUCCCUUGUUUCCAUUUCUAUUAAAAAAAAUGGAAAUGGACUGUCUUCAAUGGAUCCCGACUUAUGGCUACUCUAUGAAUAGGGUUUUCAUGGUAAGUGGUAUUCAGCAGGGGUUUACCAUUGCCUCCCUCUGAGGCUAGUCCUCCCCAGCUGGCUAGGGCCUGCUCAGUUUGUCACAGCUGUGCAAGCCAGCCUCUUCCUUGUUCGCAACUGCCAGCUGGGGGGCAGCUGGGCUCCUUGGGACUCUGCAGCUUGCCCGCGGCUGCACAGGUGGCAGGGCACGUAACCCCUGAGCCACACCCUGUGGGGUGAUCUUUAGCUGGUCCUUGACGCCCAGGAGACACGAGCGGGGAUUUGAACUCACAGACUCUGGACUCCCAGCCAGGCUCUCCUCCCCACUGUGCUAGACCAGUUGUCUCUAUACAAAAAGGAAGUGGCAAAGAAAGCCCCGGAGAACCUUGAAUCCUACAUUUAAACAACUCGCCUGGCAGUCCCAGGUGACAAGGAAUCCCAUGUGGGUGAGUAAUCAGAAUUGUGGAGGAGGAACAGAGACGCUCCACCUUUUUCCUGCCAGUCCGUCUGGUUUCUGUGCUGGCUACAGAGGAAGGAAAAUCAGUCCCUCAGACUCCAUCCCGUCUCUACCAGCCGCUUGGUAGAAGACUAUUUUUUUAUUUUUUUUACUAGUCUCAUACAAGGGUAGGAUCCUGCAUUUCCAUCCUGGCUUCCCCUCCUCCACUGCUAGCUGGAAACAGGUAGAGAAAAAAAACCGUGGACUAGUUAACUUUUUGUGGACUAAUUUACAUGGCUAGUGUAUCUCUCUCUUUCUAUUCCCCAAUGUUCACUGUGAUCUAUAAGAAUUUCUGUGGAGCACAGCUGUCUGGCAGGAUUCUUCCCAUGUUACUGAGAUGGUUGCCAAAAAACAACCACCUAACUUCAAUGCAAAUCAGAAUUUUUUUGUUGGGUUCUUACAGGACAAAGAAAGAAUUUUUAACUUAACGUUUUAA
Long non-coding RNA from Rhineura floridana, 6626 nucleotides. RefSeq lists it as uncharacterized. NCBI's taxonomy places the organism in Eukaryota, Metazoa, Chordata, Lepidosauria, Squamata, Rhineuridae. The transcript is spliced from 3 exons. The record is from RefSeq and is a predicted model, not a curated record.